RNAcentral lists this long non-coding RNA (1105 nucleotides) under Capra hircus (goat). RNAcentral describes it as "lncRNA (ENSCHIG00010016690.1)". Lineage: Eukaryota; Metazoa; Chordata; Mammalia; Artiodactyla; Bovidae. The record is from RNAcentral.
AAUUUCUAAGUGACAUAUGUAAACUCUUAUCUAAUUAAAUGACUUUCUUUUGCCAGUGUUUAUGUGCUGAGUGCUUGGAAAAAAAUAAACAUCUUUGUUUAAGUAUUAUUAUCCAUGGUGAGGUUUAACAACAAACGUUAUGGCUCCAUCCAUAUCUCACAAUGGGAUACUUUCAAAUAUCGGUGUUCUCUCUCAAGAUGCUAUUAUCUUCUUGACUUCUUAUGAAAGUAAAUGCCAAUCAAAUCAUCCAAACUUUAAAAAUAACAAGCUAUUAUGUUUGCUAUUAUUCUCUUACUUGGUGAGUGUGAGUGAAGGGAAACCUUUAGUGUGUUAUACUUUGAAUAAGUAAGUUCUUCGUGAUUGUUGAUUCAUAUUCAAAUGAUUCAAAGAUCAUAUACUACAUUAGUUACACGAGAAAAUAGCAUAGCCAAAUAAAAAGAUGAUCUGCUUCGGUGAAAACAAUGAAAAGCAAGUUAUGGAAUCAGAUGAAGUCAUGUAUAGCAUAAUAUUGUGUAUAUACAUAUGGUAUAUGGCUUAUGAAAAUACAGGGUUAUUUCCUAUAUCUUUAUGCUGAUACCAUCAAUGAAGGGGUCAAUAAACAACUGUGUUCAUAUAUAAAACUUAUAUGGCUUCCGUGUUUAGGCACAUUUUCUCAUACAAACUCUUUCACUGCACUUCAAAAAAAAGCAGUAGCCUCUGGAAGUUAGAUACAAAUUUGUUGCUUUAAAUAUAGUUUUAUGUCUUUUANNNNNNNNNNNNNNNNNNNNNNNNNNNNNNNNNNNNNNNNNNNNNACUCGUAAACUGACUGUUGGUGUUCAAUUUUCAGUUAUGAAUUUUUUUCUGGAAAUCAAGGUUUAUAAUAAAGUGAACUCAUCAAUAAGUUAAAACACACACAUAAUUCAUUAUUUUACCAUGUGUUUAUUCUUCAAUGUAUGGACAAGUAGAACAUCAGAUUAUUUGAUAACAAUUGCUACUGCCAUCUAGCUUGCAAUAUAAAUAUUAACUUCACAUUGUCAGAUAGCUUUCCCUCAUCUUUCCACAGAAACUAUUCUAGCUUACUAUUGCUUUUCAAGAAACUCUCAAAGUUAUGUUCUACUUUUAUGCU